GUAUAGAACCUACCUUUUACUGGAGAAUAGCCCAGAGAAAUUUGGAUUAAUGCUCCAUAGUAUCAUUUUUUGGCAUCAUUAGGUGAUUAAAGAUUUAUCGGUAAAAGAUGGCUAUGCGUUCUAUUAGCUAGUUGGUAUGGUAACGGCAUACCAAGGCGACGAUAGAUAGGGGUCCUGAGAGGGAGAUCCCCCACACUGGUACUGAGACACGGACCAGACUCCUACGGGAGGCAGCAGUGAGGAAUAUUGGACAAUGGAGGCAACUCUGAUCCAGCCAUGCCGCGUGUAGGAAGACUGCCCUAUGGGUUGUAAACUACUUUUAUAGAGGAAGAAACCGCUCUACGUGUAGAGCUCUGACGGUACUCUACGAAUAAGGAUCGGCUAACUCCGUGCCAGCAGCCGCGGUAAUACGGAGGAUCCAAGCGUUAUCCGGAAUCAUUGGGUUUAAAGGGUCCGUAGCGGGUUUGUAAGUCAGUGGUGAAAGUUUUCGGCUCAACCGGAAAAUUGCCAUUGAUACUGCAAGUCUUGAAUCAUUGUGAAGUGGUUAGAAUAUGUAGUGUAGCGGUGAAAUGCAUAGAUAUUACACAGAAUACCGAUUGCGAAGCAGAUCACUAACAAUGUAUUGACGCUAAGGGACGAAAGCGUGGGUAGCGAACAGGAUUAGAUACCCUGGUAGUCCACGCCGUAAACGAUGGUUACUAGCUGUUCGGAUUUCGGUCUGAGUGGCUAAGCGAAAGUGAUAAGUAACCCACCUGGGGAGUACGUUCGCAAGAAUGAAACUCAAAGGAAUUGACGGGGGCCCGCACAAGCGUGGAGCAUGUGGUUUAAUUCGAUGAUACGCGAGGAACCUUACCAGGGCUUAAAUGUAGUCUGACAGCUUUAGAGAUAGAGUUUUCUUCGGACAGAUUA
Molecule: ribosomal RNA, 909 nt
Filed under: uncultured bacterium
Lineage: Bacteria
Description: bacterial SSU rRNA
Rfam family: Bacterial small subunit ribosomal RNA
Source: RNAcentral